Molecule: ribosomal RNA, 521 nt
Filed under: uncultured Bacillota bacterium
Lineage: Bacteria; Bacillati; Bacillota
Description: bacterial SSU rRNA
Rfam family: Bacterial small subunit ribosomal RNA
Source: RNAcentral
CGGAGAUAGAAAGCUUGCUUUCUAUGAUCAGUGGCGAACGGGUGAGUAACACGUAGUUAACCUACCCAUUGGACUGGGACAACUUUUGGAAACGAAAGCUAAUACCGGAUAGGAAGAAAUUUUAAAGGAGCGAAUGCUGCACCAAUGGAAGGGACUGCGUCUGAUUAGCUAGUUGGUAGGGUAAGAGCCUACCAAGGCGACGAUCGGUAGCCGGACUGAGAGGUUGAACGGCCACACUGGGACUGAGACACGGCCCAGACUCCUACGGGAGGCAGCAGUAGGGAAUCUUGCACAAUGGGCGAAAGCCUGAUGCAGCAAUGCCGCGUGAGUGAAGAAGGUUUUCGGAUUGUAAAACUCUGUUAUAUGGGAAGAACAGUAUAAAGAGGAAAUGCUUUAUAUAUGACGGUACCAUAUGAGAAAGCCACGGCUAACUACGUGCCAGCAGCCGCGGUAAUACGUAGGUGGCAAGCGUUAUCCGGAAUUAUUGGGCGUAAAGGGCGCGCAGGUGGUUAUGUAAGUCU